RNAcentral lists this ribosomal RNA (492 nucleotides) under uncultured bacterium. Its description in RNAcentral is "partial 16S ribosomal RNA". It matches the Rfam family "Bacterial small subunit ribosomal RNA", at positions 29 to 507 of the family's 1533-position model. The record is from RNAcentral.
AGUGAACGCUGGCGGUAGGCCUAACACAUGCAAGUCGAACGGCAGCACAGUAAGAGCUUGCUCUUACGGGUGGCGAGUGGCGGACGGGUGAGGAAUACAUCGGAAUCUACUUUUUCGUGGGGGAUAACGUAGGGAAACUUACGCUAAUACCGCAUACGACCUACGGGUGAAAGCAGGGGAUCUUCGGACCUUGCGCGAUUGAAUGAGCCGAUGUCGGAUUAGCUAGUUGGCGGGGUAAAGGCCCACCAAGGCGACGAUCCGUAGCUGGUCUGAGAGGAUGAUCAGCCACACUGGAACUGGGACACGGUCCAGACUCCUACGGGAGGCGGCAGUGGGGAAUAUUGGACAAAGGGCGCAAGCCUGAUCCAGCCAUACCGCGUGGGUGAAGAAGGCCUUCGGGUUGUAAAGCCCUUUUGUUGGGAAAGAAAAGCAGCAGGUUAAUACCCCGCUGUUCUGACGGUACCCAAAGAAUAAGCACCGGCUAACUUCGUG